RNAcentral lists this long non-coding RNA (216 nucleotides) under Elaeis guineensis (African oil palm). RNAcentral's name for it is "long non-coding RNA (EGUI_LNC030366)". The record is from RNAcentral. Lineage: Eukaryota; Viridiplantae; Streptophyta; Magnoliopsida; Arecales; Arecaceae.
UGGUUGUCUGCUAAGAAAGAAAAAGAAGAUAUGAUGUGGACAGAAAUUAUGGUAAAAAAAGUCUAUAUCAUUAAUUAUAUUAUUUUUUUGUUUUGUUCUUUUUACACCAUUUUGUUUUCUUGAAUAAGCUUACUGUUCCAUUUAAGUUUUUCCUAUUUAUACAAGUUUUUUGUUUGCAUUUUAGAAAUAUUUUAUGGUUAGUUCAGAGAGUCCUCC